UGGAAACCUUGAGAAGAUUUGGAGGUCCAU
RNAcentral lists this non-coding RNA (30 nucleotides) under Rattus norvegicus (Norway rat). Lineage: Eukaryota; Metazoa; Chordata; Mammalia; Rodentia; Muridae. The record is from RNAcentral.